AAAUUGAAGAGUUUGAUCAUGGCUCAGAUUGAACGCUGGCGGCAGGCCUAACACAUGCAAGUCGAACGGUAACAGGAAGAAGCUUGCUUCUUUGCUGACGAGUGGCGGACGGGUGAGUAAUGUCUGGGAAACUGCCUGAUGGAGGGGGAUAACUACUGGAAACGGUAGCUAAUACCGCAUAACGUCGCAAGACCAAAGAGGGGGACCUUCGGGCCUCUUGCCAUCGGAUGUGCCCAGAUGGGAUUAGCUUGUUGGUGGGGUAACGGCUCACCUAGGCGACGAUCCCUAGCUGGUCUGAGAGGAUGACCAG
This 310-nucleotide ribosomal RNA is filed under the name Escherichia coli. RNAcentral describes it as "bacterial SSU rRNA". It matches the Rfam family "Bacterial small subunit ribosomal RNA", at positions 1 to 307 of the family's 1533-position model. The record is from RNAcentral. Lineage: Bacteria; Pseudomonadati; Pseudomonadota; Gammaproteobacteria; Enterobacterales; Enterobacteriaceae.